UACAGAGGGGGCUAGCGUUGUUCGGAAUUACUGGGCGUAAAGGGCGCGUAGGCGGCUUCUUAAGUUAGAAGUGAAAUCCCGGGGCUUAACCUCGGAAUUGCUUUUAAUACUGGGAGGCUAGAGACCGGUAGGGGAUAGUGGAAUUCUUAGUGUAGGAGUGAAAUCCGUAGAUAUUAAGAGGAACACCAGUGGCGAAGGCGGCUAUCUGGACCGAUACUGACGCUGAGGCGCGAAAGCGUGGGGAGCAAACAGG
RNAcentral lists this ribosomal RNA (253 nucleotides) under uncultured bacterium. Its description in RNAcentral is "partial 16S ribosomal RNA". It matches the Rfam family "Bacterial small subunit ribosomal RNA", at positions 524 to 776 of the family's 1533-position model. The record is from RNAcentral.